UGCAUCCCUACUCUAGACACUUCUGCUGGGUGCUGCCAUCUUGGAUUUGAUGUCAACAGCCCCAGAAGAGUCAGAGUGGUCACUCAAGUG
Nanorana parkeri is the source of this 90-nucleotide long non-coding RNA. RefSeq lists it as uncharacterized. NCBI's taxonomy places the organism in Eukaryota, Metazoa, Chordata, Amphibia, Anura, Dicroglossidae. The transcript has 3 exons. The record is from RefSeq and is a predicted model, not a curated record.